RNAcentral lists this ribosomal RNA (407 nucleotides) under uncultured bacterium. Its description in RNAcentral is "partial 16S ribosomal RNA". It matches the Rfam family "Bacterial small subunit ribosomal RNA", at positions 28 to 526 of the family's 1533-position model. The record is from RNAcentral.
GACGAACGCUGGCGGCGUGCCUAAUACAUGCAAGUAGGACGCAGUUGCGAACGGGUGAGUAACGCGUAGGUAACUGCCUAUUAGAGGGGGAUAACUAUUGGAAACGAUAGCUAAUACCGCAUACUAGUAGAUGGACCUGCGUUGUAUUAGCUAGUAGGUAGGGUAAUGGCCUACCUAGGAAACGAUACAUAGCCGACCUGGGGGGGUGAUCGGCCAACCUGGGACCGGGGAACGGCCCAGACUCCUAAGGGAGGCAGCAGUAGGGAAUCUUCGGCAAUGGGGGGAAACCUUACCGAGCAACGCCGCGUGAGUGAAGAAGGUUUUCGGGUCGUAAAGCUCUGUUGUUAAGGAAGCGGUACUUAACCAGAAAGGGACGGCUAACUACGUGCCAGCCGCCGCGGUAAUAC